Molecule: long non-coding RNA, 547 nt
Organism: Vicia villosa (hairy vetch)
Lineage: Eukaryota; Viridiplantae; Streptophyta; Magnoliopsida; Fabales; Fabaceae
Exons: 4
Source: RefSeq, a predicted model, not a curated record
UCUAAAGUGGCUAAAGUCUCCAAGUCAAAGAAAAUUUCAUGGUCAAAAAUUCGGUGUCCCCGUCAAAUUAAUAGCAUUGACUGUGGAUAUUUUGUAAUGCGAUUUAUGAAAGAGGUCAUCGUGGAAAAUGAAAUUAUGAUCCCCGUAAAUUACUUUCCUGACCACAAAUGUCGUACCUACUCUAUGGAUAAGUUAACCGAGAUCAAGGAGGAUUGGGCUACCUAUAUGGUGGAUGAUAUUUUUGAAAAACAAGAAGCAAAUAUUUUGCCUAGCUAGCUAGCAAAGUGAUUAUAUAUCUGGGUUUGGCAGUGCUUUGGUUCGCGAAGUGGUUACUUGAUGUCGUUUUGUAGUCCUUUCUUGUUUUGUUAGAUGUUUUCUUUAGUUUAGAUAAUAUGCCUAACGAAGUGAUUUUACUUUUGUUUGGAAUUUGGUUUGAUGUACUCUUAGUUGGACCAAAUUAAUUACUUAUGGCAAAAGUUCUAUCUUAAUUUCAUUGAGAUCAAUGUUGAAUAUGGUAAUUUGUUAAUUUGUUUAUUAUCAUUCACUA